Small nuclear RNA from Gorilla gorilla gorilla (western lowland gorilla), 104 nucleotides. Lineage: Eukaryota; Metazoa; Chordata; Mammalia; Primates; Hominidae. The record is from Ensembl.
GUGCUUGCUUUGGCAGUACAUAUACUAAAACUAGAACAAUAUAGAGAUUAGUAUGGCCCCUGUGCAAUGAUGACAUGCAAAUUCAUGAUGCGUUUCAUCUUUUU